AACGCGAAGAACCUUACCUACCCUUGACAUCCUAGGAAGACUGCAGAGAUGCGGUUGUGCCGAAAGGAACCUAGAGACAGGUGCUGCAUGGCUGUCGUCAGCUCGUGUUGUGAGAUGUUGGGUUAAGUCCCGUAACGAGCGCAACCCUUAUCCUUAGUUGCCAACACGUAAUGGUGGGGACUCUAAGGAGACUGCUGGUGAAGAACCGGAGGAAGGUGGGGACGACGUCAAGUCAUCAUGGCCUUUAUGGGUAGGGCUACACACGUGCUACAAUGGGGUGAACAGAGGGAAGCCAACCCGCGAGGGGGAGCCAAUCCCGUAAAACACCUCUUAGUCCGGAUUGAAGUCUGCAACUCGACUUCAUGAAGUUGGAAUCGCUAGUAAUCGCGAAUCAGAACGUCGCGGUGAAUACGUUCCCGGGCCUUGUACACACCGAGACGUA
This 442-nucleotide ribosomal RNA is filed under the name uncultured bacterium. Its description in RNAcentral is "bacterial SSU rRNA". It matches the Rfam family "Bacterial small subunit ribosomal RNA", at positions 958 to 1398 of the family's 1533-position model. The record is from RNAcentral.